RNAcentral lists this long non-coding RNA (353 nucleotides) under Elaeis guineensis (African oil palm). Its description in RNAcentral is "long non-coding RNA (EGUI_LNC072890)". Lineage: Eukaryota; Viridiplantae; Streptophyta; Magnoliopsida; Arecales; Arecaceae. The record is from RNAcentral.
GCAGCUGCUCCCUGACCUCCAUCAGCACUUGAGUUUUCGAUGUGUUGAGUGGGGCGUAGCUAUGGAAUCUUCCCGGGGGAGAGUUCUGCCUUACUCUGUGGUCCGGGCUUCUCUGCCUACUAGCCCGGGGAGGAGUCUGGACAUGCUUGUGUCCGGAGGGAGUUCGAGAAUGUGGCUGAGCUUCACUCGACUCUUUUUCAACUGUGGGCUUGCUGCAGUCCCCCGUCGGUCGCUCCUUCAUGGCCUCCUCGUCCUUCAUCUUGAAGGCUUCUUCUGCUCGGGCAUAUGCUUCAACCUGAGCCAGCAAAUCAGCAAAGUCCCUGGGAUAUUUUUUUUCUAGGAAAAAUAGAAGA